Molecule: long non-coding RNA, 378 nt
Organism: Hyla sarda
Lineage: Eukaryota; Metazoa; Chordata; Amphibia; Anura; Hylidae
Exons: 4
Source: RefSeq, a predicted model, not a curated record
CUCGCUCUGUGCAGCUGAAAUACGGGGGUGCUGCAGGAGAGAUAGCAUAGAGGGCGAUAUAGAACCGUCUGCAGAUUCGUCAUAGCCCAUAUAUUUCCUGACAGGGGAAGAAAACUGACUACAUGAAAUAUCUGUUCAGAUUCUCUUAAGUGCCAUGAGAAGGUGAACACAGCAGACAAAGAAAAUCAGUGGGACCAAGUCAGAUCUGAUCUUAUCACCCACAGCCAAAGUACACUAUUGAAACUUUUCCAGAUCAAUCACUGCCUUCAUAUCAGAUUCUGCUCGAGUCUUAUUGGCACCAAGAAAAACUGGCACAUCCACCAUGAAGUUAAAUAAAGCAUCUCUGUACUGUAGAAAAAAAUAAAGUGCAUAAUACAG